CUGUGGACUCUGGCGCGCGAGGCAGCCGCAAGCCCAGCAAGUCCGUUAGGCCGCCUGGGCGGGCCUCCCGCCAGCGACGGGGUGGGGAGACUGCAGCUACUCUGCUCCCCAGGAGCCGGCUCCAUGGUCUGAGCUGUCACCUGCGGGGCAGCCCGUGAUUCAUCCACCUACCGUUACAUCAUCUCAUCCCUUCCAAACCAUACGGUUCUGACGUCAGAGGGCCUCUCCAGUUCCCACGGACCGGACCGGUGCUGCUAGAGAUGGUGCUUCUGCUGCAACCUCUGGCUCCCGCCAGGUUGCUGGGCUCCUCUUGCUCCUUGGAGAAGACCCUGCAGUGCAGCUGCUCCUUCCACGGCAUCCCCACUCCCUCCGUGCAGUGGUGGAUGGGAGGUGCCCCUGUGGGUGUGAACAGUGUGAGUGGCCGCCUCCAGGUGACCUCCACUGUGCUUGGCCCCUGGGCCAACAGCACCAUCCACCUGGCCAGUGAGCCAGAAAUGGGCACGAGCCUUCUCUGCGAGGGGAAGAACGAAAACGGAACCCAUGCUCUGAGCAUCCUGCUGAUGUCACGAAAGAGCUCUUUGGCGCCCCAGACCUUCCUGAAAGGGCUGAUCCAGGGUGCCGUGUACGGGGCCACAGCCAUUGCACUUCUCUUCUUCUGCCUCCUCCCCGUCAUAGUGAAACAUGCCAGAACGGAGAAGGCGGCCAAAGCCAGAAAAAGCCGCAAGGUCAGAGUCGGCCAGAAACCCGGGAUGGCCCUGAAGCCUGCCGAGCCAGGAAAAGCCGUAGCUGUUCCCGCCGUCUGAGACCUGGAUGUUGGUGACUACCCGCUGUGUCUGAGCCCACCAGGAUAACGACAGCGAAGUCCACGCCGAGGCACAUACAGAACCACCUGAUCUCUAUGCUGAGCAAUGCUGUGGUCACACAAGUGGGUCAAACCCGGGCCUUGCCCUCAGAGAGCACCCAGGCUGGAAAGGCAAGAUAAACUGGAGACAGCAACCCUGUGGGAACUACAUCGUACCUGGCACCCCACUGUCCCUGGAAUUACAGACGUCCACAAAAUCCACAGAAUCCAUAGAAAUUCUGGGGCCAUAAUAAAGUUGGAACCCCUGGAGUGUCCUCAGGCCCCAAAACCCUUUCAACCCCUACCUGUCCCUCAGGCUGUCUGUCCAUUAAAUAGGGGUCACCAUUAGAUCUGGUCUUGGAACUUUUGAAGGCAAACUCCAUGAUCUGUUGAUUGGGUUAGCCAGAAGAAACAUGCCCCCCUCCAAAUAAUGUCAAAGGAAGAACAAAAAUACACUUGAGACUAUAAAACAGGUCCAGCAGAAAAUAGCUUUGGCACACCUACUGUGUGCCUAGACUGUGUGCACAUGUAAGAAUACCAGGCUUUGAAGCCAUCAUCUUUGGAUUGAACUCCGACUUCAGUGCUCAGUGGCUGUAUGCCUGUGACUUCCCUCACCCCCCACACACACACUUUUAACUUCAGU
This is an RNA transcript of Tupaia belangeri chinensis (Chinese tree shrew), 1484 nucleotides long. It is a transcript of the gene named SIGLEC family like 1, with no coding region annotated. The transcript has 7 exons. The record is from RefSeq and is a predicted model, not a curated record. NCBI's taxonomy places the organism in Eukaryota, Metazoa, Chordata, Mammalia, Scandentia, Tupaiidae.